GAUGAACGCUAGCGGCAGGCCUAAUACAUGCAAGUCAAGGGGCCAGCAAUGGCACCGGCGGACGGGUGCGUAACGCGUACACAACGUACCUCUGACAGGGGGAUAGCAUUGGGAAACUGGUGGUAAUACCCCAUAGUAUUGCUGAGGGGCAUUUCUUGGCGAUUAAAGUUUCGGCGGUCAGAGAUCGGUGUGCGUCCGAUUAGCUAGUUGGCGGGGUAACGGCCCACCAAGGCGACGAUCGGUAGGGGGUGUGAGAGCAUGACCCCCCCACAUGGGUACUGAGACACGGACCCAACUCCUACGGGAGGCAGCAGUAAGGAAUAUUGGACAAUGGUCGGAAGACUGAUCCAGCCAUGCCGCGUGAAGGUCGAAGGCGCUCAGUGUUGUAAACUUCUUUUGGAUGGGGAUAAUAAUCUCGAUUUAUCGGGACUUGAAGGUACCAUCAGAAUAAGCACCGGCUAACUCCGUG
Molecule: ribosomal RNA, 469 nt
Filed under: uncultured bacterium
Lineage: Bacteria
Description: bacterial SSU rRNA
Rfam family: Bacterial small subunit ribosomal RNA
Source: RNAcentral